UAAGUGAUGGCGACCGGCGCACGGGUGAGUAACACGUAUCCAACCUGCCGAUAACUCGGGGAUAGCCUUUCGAAAGAAAGAUUAAUACCCGAUGGUAUAAUAAAGCCGCAUGGUUUAAUUAUUAAAGAAUUUCGGUUAUCGAUGGGGAUGCGUUCCAUUAGGCAGUUGGUGAGGUAACGGCUCACCAAACCUUCGAUGGAUAGGGGUUCUGAGAGGAAGGUCCCCCACAUUGGUACUGAGACACGGACCAA
This 251-nucleotide ribosomal RNA is filed under the name uncultured bacterium. RNAcentral describes it as "partial 16S ribosomal RNA". It matches the Rfam family "Bacterial small subunit ribosomal RNA", at positions 81 to 334 of the family's 1533-position model. The record is from RNAcentral.